Molecule: unclassified non-coding RNA, 357 nt
Filed under: soil metagenome
Description: partial contains 5.8S ribosomal RNA, internal transcribed spacer 2, and large subunit ribosomal RNA
Rfam family: 5.8S ribosomal RNA (bases 1-120)
Source: RNAcentral
GAUGAAGAACGCAGCGAAAUGCGAUAAGUAAUGUGAAUUGCAGAAUUCAGUGAAUCAUCGAAUCUUUGAACGCACAUUGCGCCCGCUGGUAUUCCGGCGGGCAUGCCUGUUCGAGCGUCAUUUCAACCCUCAAGCUCUCCGGAGUUUGGUGUUGGGGCGCCUGGGGCUUUUCGACCUCAGGGCCCUCAAGUCCCUCGGCGGGACCGCCAGGACACUGAGCGCAGUAGUAUUAUUUCGCUCGGUAGGAUCUUCCACGGCGGGUCGAUCUGGCCGCUAAACCCCCCAAUUCUCACCAAAGGUUGACCUCGGAUCAGGUAGGAAUACCCGCUGAACUUAAGCAUAUCAAUAAGCGGAGGA